Molecule: ribosomal RNA, 491 nt
Filed under: uncultured bacterium
Lineage: Bacteria
Description: bacterial SSU rRNA
Rfam family: Bacterial small subunit ribosomal RNA
Source: RNAcentral
GGUAGCCUACACAUGCAGUCGAACGGCAGCACAGAGGAGCUUGCUCCUUGGGUGGCGAGUGGCGGACGGGUGAGGAAUACAUCGGAAUCUACUCUGUCGUGGGGGAUAACGUAGGGAAACUUACGCUAAUACCGCAUACGACCUACGGGUGAAAGCAGGGGAUCUUCGGACCUUGCGCGAUUGAAUGAGCCGAUGUCGGAUUAGCUAGUUGGCGGGGUAAAGGCCCACCAAGGCGACGAUCCGUAGCUGGUCUGAGAGGAUGAUCAGCCACACUGGAACUGAGACACGGUCCAGACUCCUACGGGAGGCAGCAGUGGGGAAUAUUGGACAAUGGGCGCAAGCCUGAUCCAGCCAUACCGCGUGGGUGAAGAAGGCCUUCGGGUUGUAAAGCCCUUUUGUUGGGAAAGAAAUCCAGCUGGCUAAUACCCGGUUGGGAUGACGGUACCCAAAGAAUAAGCACCGGCUAACUUCGUGCCAGCAGCCGCGGUAAU